RNAcentral lists this unclassified non-coding RNA (1921 nucleotides) under Hevea brasiliensis (rubber tree). The record is from RNAcentral. Lineage: Eukaryota; Viridiplantae; Streptophyta; Magnoliopsida; Malpighiales; Euphorbiaceae.
AAAUUUCUUAAAUCAACAAAAAGAAACACCCUUUUCGCUAAAUCUAACAAUUCUUCAAACACAUUUGAAAACUCCAUUGUUCUUGGUCUGUUUCCGAAUUUCAUUUCUUCCCUUUUUAUUCACAAAUUCCGCCAUGAAAAUUUCUUAAAACCCAUUAAAAUAGCCACCCUUUUCCUCCAAAUCUGAGAUUUCUGAACUCACAUUUGAAUAAUUGAAACUCUAUUUGCGAAGUUCCCAAAUAUGGUUUCGCUAGAAAAUUCUCAUUCGCAUGUUUCUUCUACUACCCAUCAUUCCCAAACACGGCCUUAUUACUAUACUCCACCGCCGUCCUCCGCCAAAGUUCACCGACGUUCAAUUGGCCGGUCCAUGCGCACUAUCCGCUCCAAUCUGUUCCAACCCGAAUGUGAAAACUCCGGUCCGGUCUACGAGAACCUUACAGAUUCCGUCGUUGAUUUUCGCCUAACUGAGCUAGCGAAGAAGCCGCCGGUUGAUAAAUCUUCUUUUUCCGAUGCGGAAUUUCUGGAAAUUUCCCAAACUUUCAGUGAUUUCUCGGCGUAUAGCAGUGAUAUUUCCGGCGAGUUGGAACGUUUAGCUUACAUCCCAAAUUCGGAUCCGAAUCAGAGCUCCGUUAGUGAACCGGAACCGGAACCGGAGCCUUGUGUAGGGUUUCUGCAGCGGGAGAUGUUUUCGACGGAGAUAAUCGAAAGCAUUGAACCGGAGGAUCUUCAGCCGACGGUGAAACUCUGCGUCGACAGUUUACAGUCACCGUCGGUGGCCGUGAAAAGAUCGGCGGCGGAGAAAUUGAGGUUUUUAGCUAAAAAUCGAGCUGAUAAUCGUGCUUUAAUCGGAGAGUCAGGUGCUAUUCCGGCAUUGCUACCGCUUCUCCGGUGCUCCGAUCCAUGGACCCAGGAACAUGCUGUAACAGCUCUUCUCAAUCUAUCGCUUCACGAACCGAACAAAACCUUAAUUACAAACUCCGGGGCGAUAAAAUCUUUGAUUUACGUGUUGAAAACGGGCACUGAAACGUCGAAACAGAAUGCAGCUUGUGGGUUGCUAAGCUUAGCUUUGAUAGAUGAGAAUAAGUUAACCAUUGGUGCUUGUGGUGCUAUUGCCCCAUUAGUGGCACUGUUAAUAAACGGGACGAAUCGGGGAAAGAAGGAUGCAUUAACGACGUUGUAUAAGCUAUGCACUGUGAGAUUGAACAAAGAACGGGCUGUGAGUGCUGGUGCUGUGAAACCAUUGGUGGGGUUAGUGUGUGAGGAGGGAACAGGGUUAGCUGAGAAGGCUAUGGUGGUGUUAAGUAGCUUAACGGGGAUCGAGAUGGGGCAAGAAAGUAUAGUUGAGGAAGGUGGAAUUGCUGCACUUGUGGAAGUGAUUGAAGAUGGAUCGGAUAAAGGGAGGGAAUUCGCAGUGAUGACUCUUUUGCAGCUGUGUGUUGAUAGUGUAAGGAAUAGAGGACUUCUUGUUAGGGAAGGAGGAAUCCCUCCUCUUGUCGCAUUGUCGCAGACUGGAACUGCUAAAGCUAAGCACAAGGCAGAAACAUUACUGGCAUACUUGAGGGAACCAAGACAAGAAGCUUCUACUUCAACUCCUUAGUGAGGUAGCUUAGACGGUCUUCUAUAUUUGAGUAUUUUCUGUUUAUAGGAAGUGAUUUGAAAGAGUUUGUACAGAGUGGUUAUAAAUUUAGAAGUUCAUGACAUAUGUCAGGUUAAUCAAGAAAAUAAAUAUCAAGUUAGUUUUAAGGAAACUGACCUAUAUAGAUAAAUUUUUAACUAAGUUUAGUGCUGGCAGGGGUUGUGGGAAGGGUUCUCAUGUCCCUUUUGAAUUAUUAUCUGUGAGGUUGUUUGGUAAGAAUUUGAUAAUGAUCCCUUAAGUUUUGUUUGGGUGGUCCAAAUUCUUCUAAAAGGGUUACUGAUUUUAU